GAUGAACGCUAGCGGCAGGCCUAAUACAUGCAAGUCGAACGAGAUUAAGAGGCUUGCUUCUUAUGAAAGUGGCGCACGGGUGCGUAACGCGUAUGCAACCUACCUUAAUCAGGGGGAUAGCCCGAAGAAAUUCGGAUUAAGACCGCAUAAAAACACAGGAUAGCAUUAUCCAAUGUUCAAAUAUUUAUAGGAUUAAGAUGGGCAUGCGUGUCAUUAGCUAGUUGGCGGGGUAACGGCCCACCAAGGCGACGAUGACUAGGGGAUCUGAGAGGAUGACCCCCCACACUGGUACUGAGACAAGGACCAGACGCUUACGGGAGGCAGCAGUAAGGAAUAUUGGUCAAUGGAGGGAACUCUGAACCAGCCAUGCCGCGUGCAGGAAGACAGCCCUCUGGGUCGUAAACUGCUUUUAUUCGGGAAUAAACCUUUCUACGUGUAGGAAGCUGAAUGUACCGAAGGAAUAAGGAUCGGCUAACUCCGUG
RNAcentral lists this ribosomal RNA (482 nucleotides) under uncultured bacterium. RNAcentral's name for it is "partial 16S ribosomal RNA". It matches the Rfam family "Bacterial small subunit ribosomal RNA", at positions 28 to 507 of the family's 1533-position model. The record is from RNAcentral.